RNAcentral lists this small nuclear RNA (107 nucleotides) under Myotis brandtii (Brandt's bat). The record is from RNAcentral. Lineage: Eukaryota; Metazoa; Chordata; Mammalia; Chiroptera; Vespertilionidae.
GUGCUGUCUUCAGCAGCACAUGUACUAAAAUUGGAACGAUACAGAGAAGAUUAGCAUCGCCCCUGCGCAAGGAUGACACACAAAUUCGUGAAGCGGUCCAUAAAAAA